Molecule: ribosomal RNA, 271 nt
Filed under: uncultured archaeon
Lineage: Archaea
Description: partial 16S ribosomal RNA
Rfam family: Archaeal small subunit ribosomal RNA
Source: RNAcentral
CAGCGCCACAAGUGGGGACCAUGUUUAUUGGGCCUAAAGCGUUCGUAGCUGGUUCUGUUAAUCUUUUGUGAAAUCGUUGGGCUUAACCUAACGGCGUGCAGGAGACACUGCAGAACUUGGGACCGGGAGGGGUUAGAAGUAUUUCUGGGGGAGCGGUAAAAUGCAGUAAUCCCGGGAGGACUACCUGUGGCGAAGGCGUCUAACCAGAACGGGUCCGACAGUGAGGAACGAAAGCCAGGGGAGCAAACCGGAUUAGAUACCCGCGUAGUCC